Long non-coding RNA from Bombus impatiens (common eastern bumble bee), 131 nucleotides. RefSeq lists it as uncharacterized. The record is from RefSeq and is a predicted model, not a curated record. Lineage: Eukaryota; Metazoa; Arthropoda; Insecta; Hymenoptera; Apidae. The transcript is spliced from 3 exons.
UGGGGAACAGCAAUUUCCGGUACACCAAGAUUAGUAGAAAUACAUAAUUUGAACAAAUGUCGAUAGUUAUAAAUUUGUCAUUAUUACCAUCGUUACUACAAUGGUGUGACAAAAUUAAUACAGUAUAAAAC